This 266-nucleotide ribosomal RNA is filed under the name uncultured bacterium. RNAcentral describes it as "partial 16S ribosomal RNA". It matches the Rfam family "Bacterial small subunit ribosomal RNA", at positions 793 to 1055 of the family's 1533-position model. The record is from RNAcentral.
GUCCACGCCUUAAACGAUGGAUGCUAGCCGUCAGCAAGCAUGCUUGUUGGUGGCGCAGCUAACGCAUUAAGCAUCCCGCCUGGGGAGUACGGCCGCAAGGUUAAAACUCAAAGGAAUUGACGGGGGCCCCGCACAAGCGGUGGAGCAUGUGGUUUAAUUCGACGCAACGCGAAGAACCUUACCAGUCCUUGACAUUCUCCGGGCGGUUUCCAGAAAUGGAUUCCUCCUAGCAAUAGGUCGGAGAACAGGUGCUGCAUGGCUGUCGU